RNAcentral lists this small RNA (117 nucleotides) under Marmota monax (woodchuck). Lineage: Eukaryota; Metazoa; Chordata; Mammalia; Rodentia; Sciuridae. The record is from RNAcentral.
GCUGGGCAUGGUGGCGCACACCUAUAAUCCCAGCGGCUUGGGAGGCUGAGACAGGAGAAUUGCAAGUUCAAAACCACCCUGAGCAAAAGUGAGACACUAAGUGAGACCCUGUCUCUA